Molecule: non-coding RNA, 507 nt
Organism: Paralichthys olivaceus (Japanese flounder)
Lineage: Eukaryota; Metazoa; Chordata; Actinopteri; Pleuronectiformes; Paralichthyidae
Source: RefSeq, a predicted model, not a curated record
GGGCGUGGCCUCCAGUUACCUCCUUCUCCAACUCAAUCAACCACCUGCAGUUCAUUCAUCAAUCAACUGCCUCCUGCGUCAGCAUGGAAGAGGACUGUCUCCAACACCGUUACUCUGAAUGAUCAUCAUGUGCUCUGAGGACCGCUCUGUUUUCCUGUCUCACUGAACCGGGCUGACCCUGGACUCACAAACAUUCUCUGGAUCGAGGGGCAUUAUGAAUAAUUAGAGUCCAAACACACAAUCCUGCUUAGAGAGGACACCAGGAAAAGACCUGCUCUGCGCCUGAUGCCAAACCAGAAACCAGAAGCAGCUGGGAGCGAUCAAUAAUUCAUGCACAGGCCGCAGAAGGGGCCACGCUCACUGUAAUGCUGGUUCAUGUAGAUUAUGUGAGCACAUUAUAAGUGCAGAUGAGGGAGGAAGUCAGAUUCAGUGCACGAGUAAAAGUAGAAAUACCACAUUGUUAAAAAAUAAAAAAAGCCAAAUAUUUCAUACAAGAUGUGAGUAAAG